UGAAUGAAGCCAGGAACUAUUGGAAUAGUCGAAUCUAGAAAAAAAUAAUUAACUCGGUUAAUACGCUCGAGGAUACGGUUAGUAACAGCAAUAUAACGGCAAUAGGCCGAAGGAGAGAGCAAUGUAUGUGUCACAGGGGCCUAUUGCGGGUGCCAAGGACCCUACUGAACUGCUUCCGCCAGGCAUGACUCCGCCUGCUCGGCCCGAAGAGAGC
RNAcentral lists this long non-coding RNA (214 nucleotides) under Physcomitrium patens. RNAcentral's name for it is "long non-coding RNA (PPAT_LNC014702)". Lineage: Eukaryota; Viridiplantae; Streptophyta; Bryopsida; Funariales; Funariaceae. The record is from RNAcentral.